RNAcentral lists this unclassified non-coding RNA (5064 nucleotides) under Mizuhopecten yessoensis (Yesso scallop). Its description in RNAcentral is "forkhead box protein N4-like, transcript variant X5". The record is from RNAcentral. Lineage: Eukaryota; Metazoa; Mollusca; Bivalvia; Pectinida; Pectinidae.
AACUUGACGAAAAACGUGUACAGAUCCGAUUAGCAAAUCGUAAACAAAGUAAGCAAACAGGUUUGAGUUGACUAUUGAGGACAAUAAGAACACAUCUCCGAGUGAAACUGAUCAAAAUUGGCAGGUUGAUAUCAAAUCCCUGCAGGCCAUCUGUCAUCACAUUUCUGUUAAUUGAGUAGUCUGCCAUAAUGAAUGGCGAGUAAGCCUUACUAUAAACCACUCGGUCCGUGGGAAAUCUCACAAUUACCCCACGGUGAGCCCCCGCCUAACAUCCCGUCCAGGCCUCGAAUUACAUUUGUGGUUAUUCUUCUCUUGACUAUUUCACAACAGUCGUAGCACGAAUUCCUCGAAAAACGUUGCUAUCCAUACAAAGAAACACACAAGGUAUUACACAUUUAAUAUAACGGUUUCCCAACUCUUAGAAAAUGACGAAAUAGCCCUACAUGUAUCGACACAUAUUCACUUGCACGGGCACCUGCUAGUAGCUAGUUAAUUGACCUUCCAUAUAUGGCACAUUGUAUUUAGUGUUGUCAUAGAAAAGCCAAUCAGCGUCGACCGAUUCAAAAUUCAGGGGUCGCCGCCAACCAAUCAGAUUGGACUAUUUUGAAUGUAUUACAUUUCUUUGUUAUUUGGGUUGAGCAACCGAAAUUUACUACGGUAUAGUACUACAGGUAAAGGGACUCGUGUAUUCGCAACUUCCUGGAUAAUUUUGACGUUGCAAUAUAUUUCGGAAAUUGCCAAUUGGAAAAUUGACAGUGUUGGAAUCUUGCUCCAAUGAGGAAAACUCCGUAAUGUUAAGUAUGGCAUUCUGUAAUACAUCCGACAUGGAUUUUCUAGAUACAAUACCCAUGGCCAUGGAUUCUUCAUCGUACGACCUUCAAAACGAAGUUGACAAAAUUCUUCAAGGUUCCGACAAAUUCCAGGACUACAGUAUUCUUAACAACGACAGCAAUCACGGAAACUUUGAUUUCGAAACAAACAACCAAUCUGUUGACGAUUGGAUCCAGAAUAUACAAUGUCAGUGGAACGAUGUAGAUGUUGUUAAACUACAAAACAGUUUAUUGGACUCAUCUUUUGAGGUAGAAAAUAAUAACCCGAACUUACUAGUAAAUCCGCAAACUGGAUUACCAGUGAACCAUUUCUCUCCAAGAAAACAACUGUCAAGUUCGACAACUGUGAAAUCAGAGAGUGGACAGAGUUCAUUACUAGCAGAUAGUCCCCACUUUACAUUACAGACUGAUCACAACUUGAAUUGUGCAACUCGCGAAUCCAAUACCACUUCAUCCGAUCAGUCAAGAUUUUCAAAUGUAAAUAACAAUGCUCACAUUCAGCCAGUGAAAUCUGUACUAAGUUCUCCGUCCCACAAUUCUCCCGUCCUGGUCAACCACCUCCAACAAGGAUUAAAUGGUCGACAAGUCACUGUGACACAGAACAAUGUCAAAAAGUCUGUGACCGUCCUGAAAUCGGACAAUUCUGAUCGAGCAUUUCCAAAACCAGUUUAUUCCUACAGUUGCCUCAUUGCUAUGUCACUGAAGAACAGUAGAAAUGGGAGUCUUCCUGUUAGUGAAAUAUACACCUUCAUGACGGAACAUUUUCCAUACUUCAAAACGGCACCGGACGGUUGGAAGAAUUCUGUGAGACACAAUUUGUCCCUAAAUAAGUGCUUUGCCAAAGUAGAAACCCCGAAAGUGACUGGAAACAACAGCAAAAAGGGGUGUUUGUGGGCCCUCAACCCUGAUAAGGUUGAAAAAAUGGAAGAUGAAAUUGCGAAACACAGGAAGAAAGAUUUGGAUGCCAUCAGGAACAGUAUGGCUAUGCCAGAAAAAUUAGAACUGAUCGAGGCAGGAAAGGCAGGACCAGCGGGGAGUCGAUCUGAGGGAGAGAGGAUCUUGUCCCUGCCUGUAACAACGACACCCUCCACAACAACUGCCCGUGUGGUGAAAAUAUCCACCCCAGUGGACUCCUCAAUAAAACAGGAGGAUUACCUCCAUAGUAUAGUGCUGGACGGGAGUUUGUCUUUGGACAACCCCCUACCCGACCUAACAUUACAGAAUGGUAUUUGGGAUGACCUGUCAACAGACAUGGAAUUACCACUGACUACAUCCUCCACACUUUCGCUCAAUGCCUCGCCCCUAACAAUCCAGUCUGUGGUUUCUUUAGCUGGAGUUUCCGGAGCCUUUCAAGGUCAGUUCACAUGCUCAUCGAGUCCCAUGUUAACUCUUACCCAGAAUGCAACAGUAGCUCCAGCUUGUCGCACGCCGUCCAAGAUCCUCGAAGCUCAGAUCUAGUCAGGGAAAGACACUACCAUGGUCAUCUGAAAUUUGCCAUGGUUACAAGGGGAAGGGUUAAAUAGAUAAAGUCACAGACAUCUACAAUUGACCAAGUUAUCAACACUGCCAAGGCGAUCUACUAUAGGCCGAGUGAUCAACACUGCAAAGGUCAUCUAUGUUUGGCCAGGUGAUCAACACUGCAAAGGUCAUCUAUGUUUGGCCAGGUGAUCAGCACUGCAAAGGUCAUCUAUGUUUGGCCAGGUGAUCAACACUGCAAAGGUCAUCUAUGUUUGGCCAAGUGAUCAACACUGCAAAAGGUCAUCUAUGAUUUGCCAGGUGAUCAACACUGCAAAGGUCAUCUAUGAUUGGCCAGGUGAUCAACACUGCAAAGGUCAUCUAUGAUUGGUCAAGGCCACAGGGGGGAGGGAAUAUUGUUGAAUUAACAUUCCAUUGUAUAUCAUAAUGUUGCCUGUCUGAGUGUGGGUCCGUAGGACAGAAAAUUGGUUAUGUACGUAACAUCCAUUCUUAAAUUAAUUCAUUGAUUCGUAUCAUCCAAGAUGUUAGGAAAAAUGAAAUAAUUUCAGUUGAAAAAUAUUAAGAAAACAAUUUAUCCUAGCUUUACCAAUGUAAUGUAAUACCUUCUAAACAGAGCAAUCAUUUUAGCUUAAUAUAUAGUCCUGAUAUUUAUGGAGAAAUAUUUCAUCGGAAAAAGAUACAAUUUCAUAAUUAAUGUAGGGAAACAGAGGUAUAAAUGGCAUAAAAUUUUGUAAGAAAACAAAAUCUUCACUUGAUCAUUCCAAGUAAGAGAGUGAUCCUUUUUUUUUACUUUUAUAUCAUUGAUUGAUGUACUGAUUCCUAUUUGUGCAAAAGUGAAGAGUAAAAUUGUACAAAAAAUAAUUCUCUAGCCACUGAAAUUUCUGAAUGAACUUGCGUGUUCUUUCAAUUAAACAUUAACUUUGUUGAUCUCAUAACUAAACAGAAUUCUUUUGUGCUGUCAGACUUAUGAAUUGAUUUUCUAUUGAUGUUGUUAAAGUGUUCUUGUUGACUUAUAUAAAAUUUAUUUAUGAUACUAGAAAAUGUAAAUAAGCUAGAGUUUUGAUCUCGUAGAAGCCAUGGUUGCUAGAACCAGGUGAAGAAAAAGUUUAGAAAAUUGAUUAUUGUAUUUAAAAGAAGUUUUAUUUUAAAAGUUUUCAUUGUCAUGGGAAAGUUUUGAUUUCUUUUUGAAGAAAAUCCACAUUUUAAAUGUAAAUUUCUAAAAAGUUUCUUAAAAAAUUAUCUUUGAUGGUUUUUUUCUUUAAAUGUGGAUUUGAUUACCAAAAGAAAGAAAAACAUUAUACAACAUAUAAGAUUACUGUUUUAAAGUCCUUUGUGUGAAUAAAUAUUUGUCAGACGUUUAAAUUUGCGAUAUACUGUCCUUGCAAAUUAAUAUGAAAAUAUAUAUGUUAUAAAAUCUGAAUGAUAAGCAAUACUUGGUUUGGCUUUAUAUUUUUACUGAUAUCUUUGUUCUAUAAACCAUGGCUAUUUCCCUCCUAUCUUACAUCAUCCAGAUUGGUGCAUUUUGAUUUUGUCUUUUGUUGACAUUGACAUUGUUUAUUUGUUUAUUGUGUUUCUACUGUAUUACUCAGAUAUAAACAAAUGUAUACACAUAUAAAAUUCUCUCAGUUAAUGUGGUUGCAAAUGAAAUAACAAUUAAAAUUAUCCCCUAGUCCAUACCUCUCAAAACAGUCCAAUGGAAUGUAUACAAUUCAAAUUUUGGUUGGAUGGGGGUUCAGAUUUUAUUGUUGUGUUUUAUUUUAACUUCUAAAGAUCUUUUGAAGAACUGGCCGAAAAACAAAAAAUUGAAGAAAAAAAUAUCUUUAAUAUAUUGCAUAGAUAUUUUUCUCUUGUUGAACAAAUUCUCAAUGGCAAGCAGAUUAUAGUAGUUUGACUAGUGUUAUAUAUUGUUAGUGCCACCUGUGUUCAGAACUUAGAGAAUUUUUACAGUUAUCAGUGUAUUUUAGGAUAGUGUGUCCGAGAAUGUCAAACUGGACAAAUUUCAUAGAAAGGCAAUUUCUAAGACCGUAUUCACCAUAAUAGGAGAACCACUUGCCUACGAGCACUAAUCUUCAGCAUCUACUUUUAACAGAAAAUACCAUGCUACCAGUAACCUGAAGGUAUUUUAGGUUUACACUGACCAUUUGUAUAUAUAACUUGUCAGGGGGCAUAGCUCGUGUAGUACGUUGCCUACAGUUGCCAAAUUUUGUAUACAAGUACCUCUGUGGAAGGUGAAGUGUUAAACAUUGAAAUAUUGUAUUGUGCUCCACUUAAUACUGAUUUCUGGCCCUUCGUUCAUUUUGAUAUCAAAAUUUGUCUGAUGGAGAGGAAUAUGGAUUGAUUGCACUACUCCAGAUUGUGGCCAUCUAGUACUGAAGUUGACAACUUCACAGUGUUGGGUAAUGCCAUCUAUCAUUUUAUUAAGAUGAAAAAAGCAUGUCUCAAAUUCCAGGGGAAAACUUAAUAAUGAAUCUUGAAUGGCAAUUCAAAACACAAACAAUUUUGAAGCAUCUUAACACCUCGUCCCAUAUCCCAUCAAUUUCUCAGGCAAGUGCACCUAUUAUGGUGAAUAUGGUCCUUGACAAAUAAAAGAUAAUUUGACAAAUACAUAUUUUUAGUGCAUGUUUAUCAGCCUGUGUGUGUCUAUGGGGUGUUAGUGUGGUAAUCCAAAAAUGUGAUGCCCUACAUAAAAAAAGAUAUUCCACACAAAUUAUCACAUAAAUAUAUUAAUGUACAAAUUUAAAUUUUGAUAUUGGUAUAU